AAAUUCACUCCUACAGGCUUGUUAUUGCUCUAGUACUAUUUCCACCUGAAAAUAUCUGAAGAGAAUUACUGCAUUUUUAAGUUUCUGCUAACAAAGAUAUAACAUUGUUUGGUGGGCUCUUUGUCAUGUAAUUCAGAAUGCAAAAAAAAAUUACACAAGGUAGGUUGACAUUCCAGCUGUUGCACUUGCCCUUAUGCAGAUUCAAAGUGUAUAUAGGAAAGUCCAAGUGUUAUGUUGGUAUGAACAUUUUCACAUUUUUAAAAAAUAAACCAAUAAGUUAAAUUUAAUGUUAUUUUCCUGACGCCAACUGAUUUAUUUAUUUAUUUAUUUAUUUAUUUAUUUAUUUAUUUUCUGAUAGUAACAGUUCCUCUGUGAUGGUAAAUAUAUCUGCAAGUUGUCAGAUCAUCUCAAUGUCAAAAUUUUGCUUGAAUAUAUGAAACCAUUUAGAAAAUUCAUACCUUUUACAUUGAUCCCAUUUUGCCAAUUUCAUUAUCUAAAAAUCCAACUUAAAAAAAAUAAUAAUAAUAAUUUUAAUUAUUUCUCCCAGCUCUAGAAAGCAGGUACUGCACUUCAUUAUGAGGUCAUGUUGCUACUGUGAAGCACACAUGAGCAAAUCAAUGCUGAGAAUGGCAACAUGCCUCAGUGAUUUUGGACUUCAGCACAAUUUGUUGAGAACGUGUCUCCUCUUGAUUAAUACUUUCAGACAGCAGAAGGGUGAGGACAUCCAAGCUUUUCAGCAUCCAGAGAGGUCCCCAUUGAUAUGUUUUUGCAGUGUGGACUGCACCUCCUGAGGAAGGCCCCUUGUCUGACCAGCUUUAAGCCUCUUGGAACCUAGUCAUCUCCUCAGGGAUGUGCCUUUCAAAUGCAAACACAUUACUUCUGGGUAUGGUUGUCAGCAUGAUUCCUUUAUGCUCAAGUUUCACAAUAUUUUCGUGAUACUGGGACUGAUGCAGCUUAGGCUGUUGUCAGGAUCAGGUUAGGAAAGUAUAUGGCAACAGGCAAGCUACAGCAGACCUUGUCAUGGAUCUGGGGGAGCAGGCUCUCCCCAUGGUGGCAGAGCAGGGCAGGGCCUAGCAUCCAGGGCCUAACCUAUCACCCCA
This 1100-nucleotide long non-coding RNA is filed under the name Anser cygnoides (Swan goose). RNAcentral describes it as "lncRNA (ENSACDG00005011970.1)". The record is from RNAcentral. Lineage: Eukaryota; Metazoa; Chordata; Aves; Anseriformes; Anatidae.